RNAcentral lists this ribosomal RNA (1425 nucleotides) under Bacillus pumilus. RNAcentral describes it as "bacterial SSU rRNA". It matches the Rfam family "Bacterial small subunit ribosomal RNA". The record is from RNAcentral. Lineage: Bacteria; Bacillati; Bacillota; Bacilli; Caryophanales; Bacillaceae.
AAUACUUGCAGUCGAGCGGACAGAAGGGAGCUUGCUCCCGGAUGUUAGCGGCGGACGGGUGAGUAACACGUGGGUAACCUGCCUGUAAGACUGGGAUAACUCCGGGAAACCGGAGCUAAUACCGGAUAGUUCCUUGAACCGCAUGGUUCAAGGAUGAAAGACGGUUUCGGCUGUCACUUACAGAUGGACCCGCGGCGCAUUAGCUAGUUGGUGGGGUAAUGGCUCACCAAGGCGACGAUGCGUAGCCGACCUGAGAGGGUGAUCGGCCACACUGGGACUGAAACACGGCCCAGACUCCUACGGGAGGCAGCAGUAGGGAAUCUUCCGCAAUGGACGAAAGUCUGACGGAGCAACGCCGCGUGAGUGAUGAAGGUUUUCGGAUCGUAAAGCUCUGUUGUUAGGGAAGAACAAGUGCGAGAGUAACUGCUCGCACCUUGACGGUACCUAACCAGAAAGCCACGGCUAACUACGUGCCAGCAGCCGCGGUAAUACGUAGGUGGCAAGCGUUGUCCGGAAUUAUUGGGCGUAAAGGGCUCGCAGGCGGUUUCUUAAGUCUGAUGUGAAAGCCCCCGGCUCAACCGGGGAGGGUCAUUGGAAACUGGGAAACUUGAGUGCAGAAGAGGAGAGUGGAAUUCCACGUGUAGCGGUGAAAUGCGUAGAGAUGUGGAGGAACACCAGUGGCGAAGGCGACUCUCUGGUCUGUAACUGACGCUGAGGAGCGAAAGCGUGGGGAGCGAACAGGAUUAGAUACCCUGGUAGUCCACGCCGUAAACGAUGAGUGCUAAGUGUUAGGGGGUUUCCGCCCCUUAGUGCUGCAGCUAACGCAUUAAGCACUCCGCCUGGGGAGUACGGUCGCAAGACUGAAACUCAAAGGAAUUGACGGGGGCCCGCACAAGCGGUGGAGCAUGUGGUUUAAUUCGAAGCAACGCGAAGAACCUUACCAGGUCUUGACAUCCUCUGACAACCCUAGAGAUAGGGCUUUCCCUUCGGGGACAGAGUGACAGGUGGUGCAUGGUUGUCGUCAGCUCGUGUCGUGAGAUGUUGGGUUAAGUCCCGCAACGAGCGCAACCCUUGAUCUUAGUUGCCAGCAUUUAGUUGGGCACUCUAAGGUGACUGCCGGUGACAAACCGGAGGAAGGUGGGGAUGACGUCAAAUCAUCAUGCCCCUUAUGACCUGGGCUACACACGUGCUACAAUGGACAGAACAAAGGGCUGCGAGACCGCAAGGUUUAGCCAAUCCCAUAAAUCUGUUCUCAGUUCGGAUCGCAGUCUGCAACUCGACUGCGUGAAGCUGGAAUCGCUAGUAAUCGCGGAUCAGCAUGCCGCGGUGAAUACGUUCCCGGGCCUUGUACACACCGCCCGUCACACCACGAGAGUUUGCAACACCCGAAGUCGGUGAGGUAACCUUUAUGGAGCCAGCCGCCGA